This 253-nucleotide ribosomal RNA is filed under the name uncultured bacterium. Its description in RNAcentral is "partial 16S ribosomal RNA". It matches the Rfam family "Bacterial small subunit ribosomal RNA", at positions 524 to 776 of the family's 1533-position model. The record is from RNAcentral.
GACGAAGGAUGCAAGCGUUAUCCGGAUUCAUUGGGUUUAAAGGGAGCGUAGGUGGCCUGCUAAGUCAGUGGUGAAAUCUCUGGGCUUAACCCAGAAAUUGCCAUUGAUACUGGUGGGCUUGAGUGCAGUUGCUGUUGGCGGAAUAUGACAUGUAGUGGUGAAAUACAUAGAGAUGUCAUAGAACACCGAUUGCGAAGGCAGCUAACAAAACUGUAACUGACACUGAGGCUCGAAAGUGUGGGGAUCAAACAGG